This 213-nucleotide long non-coding RNA is filed under the name Sus scrofa (pig). Its description in RNAcentral is "lncRNA (ENSSSCG00070030379.1)". Lineage: Eukaryota; Metazoa; Chordata; Mammalia; Artiodactyla; Suidae. The record is from RNAcentral.
CCUCCUGAUCCAUUCAUUGGCCUAAGUUUGAUGCCACAUUGAUUCCAUCCACAAACUACUAACUGGAUAUGCAAAAUGAAUACAAUGUUGGAGGAGGAAGAAAACUUGGAAGAAAAUGAUAGUUUUUUUGGCAGAAUUGGUAUUCCAAACUGGAAGAGGUUCUCUGUAUUUAAUUUCCUCUCCGUAAGUUUACCUUCAGAAGUCCAAGUGUGA